Long non-coding RNA from Anolis carolinensis (green anole), 331 nucleotides. RefSeq lists it as uncharacterized. The record is from RefSeq and is a predicted model, not a curated record. Lineage: Eukaryota; Metazoa; Chordata; Lepidosauria; Squamata; Anolidae. The transcript is spliced from 2 exons.
AAAUGGCAGUGCGCAUUACCGGAAGUCAAAACUGCUUUGCGCAUUAGACACUCGAAUUUCCGCGAGGUGACGAAAUAAUCGCCUGAUGGCGCAGCACAACGCCGAUUGGCUGCUGGCGAAAGUGGGCGGAGCCUGUUACGUCAGGAUGGUCUAUAAAGAUACAUGCAGCCUAGCUCCUCGGUCUUUUCGCCGGACGCUGCUGGAUCCAGCAAAAUUCAGCCUUGAUCUCAUGGAAUGGAAAGCGCUGCAAGCAACUCUUGCUGGUUGGCUAAAGCACUUUUGAAAAGGCUGGUGUGGGACUAUACUCUAUAUAAAUAAAAAUUUGAUAAUC